UUACGGUACCCUUCCCCUUUUGUACACCCCCGCCCCGGUCGCUGCCCCGGAGACUGAGUUGUUUCGAGGAAAGGCAGGAGAUUGCGAUGUUGAACGUUUUCGGAACGGUCUUUGGUUGCGAGAACCGCGUAAAUCGAAAUCGGCUUUGAACCCGGGCAAAAGUCGUAACAAGGUUUCCCGUAGGUGAACCUUGCGGAAGGAUCAUUA
Molecule: ribosomal RNA, 207 nt
Filed under: Steinernema sp. SGwb2
Lineage: Eukaryota; Metazoa; Nematoda; Chromadorea; Rhabditida; Steinernematidae
Description: partial 18S ribosomal RNA
Rfam family: Eukaryotic small subunit ribosomal RNA
Source: RNAcentral